This 253-nucleotide ribosomal RNA is filed under the name uncultured bacterium. RNAcentral describes it as "partial 16S ribosomal RNA". It matches the Rfam family "Bacterial small subunit ribosomal RNA", at positions 524 to 776 of the family's 1533-position model. The record is from RNAcentral.
UACGCAGGGGGCUAGCGUUGCUCGGAAUUACUGGGCGUAAAGCGCACGUAGGCGGCUUCUUAAGUCGGUGGUGAAAUCCUGGAGCUCAACUCCAGAACUGCCUUCGAUACUGGGAAGCUCGAGUCCGGGAGAGGUGAGUGGAACUGCGAGUGUAGAGGUGAAAUUCGUAGAUAUUCGCAAGAACACCAGUGGCGAAGGCGGCUCACUGGCCCGGUACUGACGCUGAGGUGCGAAAGCGUGGGGAGCAAACAGG